Molecule: long non-coding RNA, 1222 nt
Organism: Diorhabda carinulata
Lineage: Eukaryota; Metazoa; Arthropoda; Insecta; Coleoptera; Chrysomelidae
Exons: 3
Source: RefSeq, a predicted model, not a curated record
UUAUAUUCUGUAGACUAUAAAAUGAAAAAAUAGUUUUACCUUAGAUCUGUUAUUGGAAAAUAUAUAUCCGAUAAAUAAGAAAAUAAUUAGUCCGGAUAUUGAAAUCAAUCUAUUUCUGUUGUCUUUAGUAUCGAUUGCUAAAUAUAUAGCGAUUGCCGAAAAUGUAGAUAAGUAAAAUAUCUUAUCGGAAAACCUAUAAGAAAAAUAAAUUUAAAAUAUAAUUUAAAUAUAAAUUUAAAUCAGCUGUAAUAUGUAAUUAUUUAAAUUGUUAACGUUUUACACGUUGAUAUGGAACGAGAAGUAGAAAAACAUGUCACUUCAGUUGUAAUUAAACAGAACUUUGACAACAGCGCAACUUUUAUAUGAUUGAGUUGAUAUCGACUUCCUUCCUGUGAUCAAUUAAUGGCUGACUACCUUCUUAUUAUUUGCAAUCCAGUACUUUUAUUAACGGCGUUAUUCAAUUUACAUUUAAACAGAUUUAUGGAGUUUUUAAAAAUUGGAUAGAACAAUGGUCUCACGAAAUAAACGUUCAGCUAUGGAUAUUACCUAAGUAUGAAAAGGUCGUUAUCUGGAAGUAAGAGCAAUUCUUUCUUCUUCAAAUGCCAUUUACCUUAUCAAGAAAUGAUGCGUAAUACUCUACUGUUAUUAUUUACCUUUUUGAAGAUAGUCGUUGAACUUAAUCCCACGACUAUCCCAAGCAAACGAUCGCCAUCACUUUUUAGCUAUUAAAAACGUCUUCGCCUUUUCGGAACAGGAUAUUAUGCAAGAGGUCUCAAUUCAGUACAUUUCGGCCAUUUUUUUAAAACCUUUUGUGUUACACAACAUGAGUCUUUAGGCCGGCUACAAUGGAAUUUUAUAAUUAAUGGAAUUCGCGCGGCGCCUUUCAUCUGUUUUUAAAUGACGGACGCGCCUUUGAUAUUUGGUUCUAGAACGUUUUAUUAUAGCAGGCGGCUUAUUUACAGUAAAUUUUAAACAAUUUCUAGGAAAGUCUAUUUAUUUAUUUCUUGCGCUGCUUUUUGUUCUAGAACUUUGUGGAAUUCUAUUUGUGGUAUAUAAAUAAGUUUAUGUAGCGCAGUAAGUUACUUUUGACUAGUCAUAGUGAGAAGAUUGAAUUAUUAAAAAUAAUUGUUUAAAUGAUGUUUAUAAGUAAAUUAUUGUAAAUUAAGUGUAUUGUAUAGUGUGUAAAUAAAUUAAGAACGAGUGUUUAUACACUAUAAUUUUU